Molecule: ribosomal RNA, 255 nt
Filed under: Enterobacter cloacae
Lineage: Bacteria; Pseudomonadati; Pseudomonadota; Gammaproteobacteria; Enterobacterales; Enterobacteriaceae
Also listed under: 3 other names
Description: partial 23S ribosomal RNA
Rfam family: Bacterial large subunit ribosomal RNA
Source: RNAcentral
CUUGACACUGAACACUGGUCCUUGAUGUGUAGGAUAGGUGGGAGGCUUUGAAGCGUGGACGCCAGUCUGCGUGGAGCCAACCUUGAAAUACCACCCUUUAAUGGCUGGUGUUCUAACGUAGACCCGUAAUCCGGGUUGCGGACAGUGUCUGGUGGGUAGUUUGACUGGGGCGGUCUCCUCCCAAAGAGUAACGGAGGAGCACGAAGGUUAGCUAAUCCUGGUCGGACAUCAGGAGGUUAGUGCAAUGGCAUAAGC